AACAGGGAUUGCCCCAGUAACGGCGAGUGAAGCGGCAACAGCUCAAAUUUGAAAUCGGUCCCUUCUGGGGCUCGAGUUGUAAUUUGUAGAGGAUGCUUCGGGUGCAGAGCCGGUCUAAGUUCCUUGGAACAGGAUGUCAUAGAGGGUGAGAAUCCCGUAUGUGACCGGAUGCCUAGCUCAUGUGAAGCUCCUUCGACGAGUCGAGUUGUUUGGGAAUGCAGCUCUAAAUGGGUGGUAAAUUUCAUCUAAAGCUAAAUACCGGCCAGAGACCGAUAGCGCACAAGUAGAGUGAUCGAAAGAUGAAAAGCACUUUGGAAAGAGAGUUAAAAAGCAUGUGAAAUUGUUGAAAGGGAAGCGCUUGCCAUCAGACUUGCCUGCAGUGGAUCAGCCGGUGUUCUCACUGGUGCACGCCUCUGCAGUCAGGCCAGCAUCGGUUCAAGCGGCUGGAUAAAGGCUCCAAGAAUGUGGCUCCUCUCGGGGAGUGUUAUAGCUUGAAGCGCAAUGCAGCCUGCCUGGACCGAGGACCGCGCUUCGGCUAGGAUGCUGGCUUAAUGGUCGCAAGCGACCCGUCUUGAAACACGGACCAAGGAGUCUAACAUCUAUGCAAGUGUUUGGGUGUCAAACCCAUGCGCGUAAUGAAAGUGAACGGAGGUGGGAACCCUCAAGGGUGCACCAUCGACCGAUCCUGAUGUCUUCGGAUGGAUUUGAGUAAGAGCAUAACUGUUGGGACCCGAAAGAAGGUGAACUAUGCCUGAAUAGGGUGAAGCCAGAGGAAACUCUGGUGGAGGCUCGCAGCGGUUCUGACGUGCAAAUCGAUCGUCAAAUUUGGGCAUAGGGGCGAAAGAC
This 846-nucleotide ribosomal RNA is filed under the name Candelariella placodizans. RNAcentral describes it as "partial large subunit ribosomal RNA". It matches the Rfam family "Eukaryotic large subunit ribosomal RNA", at positions 67 to 931 of the family's 3401-position model. Lineage: Eukaryota; Fungi; Ascomycota; Candelariomycetes; Candelariales; Candelariaceae. The record is from RNAcentral.